Non-coding RNA from Trichophaea hybrida, 87 nucleotides. The record is from the annotation of a GenBank genome assembly. NCBI's taxonomy places the organism in Eukaryota, Fungi, Ascomycota, Pezizomycetes, Pezizales, Pyronemataceae.
UCCGUUAUGGUGUAGUGGCUAGCAUCGGUCGCUCUCAUUUGAAAGCAUUGAUCCGACCAGACCGGGGUUCGAUUCCCCGUGACGGAA